Molecule: ribosomal RNA, 519 nt
Filed under: uncultured Glomus
Lineage: Eukaryota; Fungi; Glomeromycota; Glomeromycetes; Glomerales; Glomeraceae
Description: SSU rRNA
Rfam family: Eukaryotic small subunit ribosomal RNA
Source: RNAcentral
AGCAGCCGCGGUAAUUCCAGCUCCAAUAGCGUAUAUUAAAGUUGUUGCAGUUAAAAAGCUCGUAGUUGAAUUUCGGGAUCAGUACGCCGGUCGUGCCUCCGGUAUGUACUGGUGUCACUGGUUCCUCCCUUCUGAAGAACCAUCAUGCUAUUAAUUUAGUGUGGUGGGAAAUCAGGACUGUUACUUUGAAAAAAAUUAGAGUGUUUAAAGCAGGCUCACGCUUGAAUACAUUAGCAUGGAAUAAUGAAAUAGGACGUUGAUCCUAUUUUGUUGGUUUCCAGGAUUGACGUAAUGAUUAAUAGGGAUAGUUGGGGGCAUUAGUAUUCAAUUGUCAGAGGUGAAAUUCUUGGAUUUAUUGAAGACUAACUACUGCGAAAGCAUUUGCCAAGGAUGUUUUCAUUAAUCAAGAACGAAAGUUAGGGGAUCGAAGACGAUCAGAUACCGUCGUAGUCUUAACCAUAAACUAUGCCGACUAGGGAUCGGAUGAUGUUAAUUUUUUAAUGACUCAUUCGGCGUCCG